UUUUUUUAUUAAAAUUACACGAUUAGCCAUGAAGAAUGUACAUAAUUUUUGUGUGUGGCGUAAAACUAAGCAAAACAUUGAAUCAAAAUUCAAGAAAAUUUGAAAUAAAUUCUUUGAAUUGCGCAAACAAGAACCAUGGAGAUUCUUCAAUAUUGCAUAAAAUAUGGAAUCAUUUUAGUCUUUCUUUGGUGGACGAUUCUUGUUACAGUUAAUAGUCGUAAUAUUGAUGAUGGUGAUGAUGACAAUAAUGAUAAAAAAGAACUACAAAAAUCUGAUGUUAUCACUGAUUCAGCCAGUGUAGCUAACACAGUGGACAAAAAAUCAAAGGCUUUGAAGAUCAUUAAAUUCGUAAAAGGCGCUUACACAGUUGCUAAAGCUAUUUUACCUUUAUUUGUAUAAAGGUGAUCAGUUUGUUUAUUGAUCAAAAUAUGUUUAACAUUAAUUUUUCCCGCUAUUCAAUUAUUAUUAUUCUGUAUUCAGAAUUACCUUCUGUUGAUGUAUAAAUUGUACACAUUCAUACAUAAUAAACAUCCUUAUUCAUUGUUUUAAAAAGGAAAGUUUUAAAAAUUUUAUCUUCUUGGACAAAAAGAAUCUAUUGAUAAAAAUUUAAAGAAUCAUAAAUUUAUAUACAAAAAUAUUCUUAUUAUGGAUAAACAACGAAACAGAGAUAAUCGUCGUCAGAAACAAAAACUCAAUGCAAAAAAAAAUCGUCGAGUUACUCCACAAACGGUUCCAUCGCAAGAAAAAAAUGCUCCUGUAGUAAGGAAUGAGUCUUCUUCUGAUGAAAGUGAUGAUGUGUAUGAUAUGUUUGAUUAUGUGAAUCAAAACUUUGUUCAACCAAAAUCGCGAUACGCUAAUAAUCCAGAGGGAGAUUCAAAGUCCACUAUUGAUUUCGAAGAUUUGGCGAAUGCGGCAGUAUCUUGUGCAUAUUUUCAAUUUAAAUCAGAAAAAAAUUGGACUGAAGAUAUUUCUAAAUACAGUGAACUCUUAGCUAUUGAUAUAAGAAAUUUAGAAACGAUUGUUGAUUGCAUACCUUAUCACCAACUUGUUGAGGUUGAUGACACUUAUUUUACUGAAGAUCAGUUAACAUAUUUCAACAGUAGAGCUGAACAAUCAGAAAAAUCAUAUGAAAUUGAAUUAUUGGAAAGAGAAAAAAUAAGGGAACGAGAUUGUCGGAAUGAUGAUAUUAUUAAAAAUAAAAAAAAGAAUUCCGAAGUUAAUGAAACUGAAAAAGUGGAUGAUGAUUUAGAUUUUCUUCUGUCAUUGAAAGAGCCAGAGCCAAUAAAACUUACUCCAGUAGCUAACACAUUUUCAAUGUCUAAAACUAAUGAAGAACAAAAAGUAUCUAAAAGUACAUCGAAUACCAAUUCAAUUGAUCUUGAGAAAUGGUUGGACUCAGUUUUAGAUCUUUAAAUUGAUCUAAAUAACAAAAAUAUAUAUAGAUCAUAUCGUACAAUAUUUACACUUAUAUCAAGGUCCGAGUCGAAGAAUUUUCGGUAAUAAUCCUUUGUACAACGCUGUUAGUCUGUGGAUGAAUAUUAUAAAUAAUGAUAACUUUAAAUUUUAUAACGAUAGUCAAGCUGCUAAAAAAAAAUAAAGUAAACAUACCCUUCUUGUCUAUAUACGAUUCCAAGUGUAUUUAGAGUUCCCUUGUAAUACAUACUACCUUGGGGACCUUGGAUUCGACUUUUCACCACGUCAAAUGGAAUAUUCAAACAUGAAGCUAAUGUGCCUGCCAUGAAUCCUAAACUUACCUAUUAUCAUUAUUAUUUUUUAUUUCAAUUAAUCGAAGUAAAAUUAAUAAAUGUAUUAAUAAAUUGA
RNAcentral lists this unclassified non-coding RNA (1821 nucleotides) under Chelonus insularis. Its description in RNAcentral is "uncharacterized LOC118068416, transcript variant X1". Lineage: Eukaryota; Metazoa; Arthropoda; Insecta; Hymenoptera; Braconidae. The record is from RNAcentral.